This 3097-nucleotide long non-coding RNA is filed under the name Ooceraea biroi (clonal raider ant). RNAcentral describes it as "uncharacterized LOC105276694". The record is from RNAcentral. Lineage: Eukaryota; Metazoa; Arthropoda; Insecta; Hymenoptera; Formicidae.
UUGAAAUCCGAGUGUAACACCUAAAAACCUUCCCUUGUUAGUCUCUUCUUUUAUUUCUUUUUUUAUCCUGCUUUAUGCUCCAUCUCACUCUGCGCGCGCGUGCGAUUUACGCACACACGUAUACACGCGUGAACACGAGCAAACUAACGGCAAAGCGCGGACGCAUUUUUGUGCCGCUCGUUGCAUACCGCGCGUUCCCACAGAGUAGGGCUAAACGUCAUUACGAACGGACGAGAAGUGCCUUCCUUCGUAGCGCGAUCUUGCUCCCGCAAGGUGGAUACCGCAAUUUGUUGACACCAGAGAAAAAGAGACACAUUGAUGUCAAGUUUCAUUACUCUGCAUAUACCAUAUCCUUGUUAUCCGCGAAUUUGGGAACCGCUGGGCAAUUUUACACAGCCACGUCGUAGCGUUCCAGCGAUUCUCUACGUAGGUACGCAAGCGUAGGUACGUCAGGCACGCAGUGGCUUCCUCACGACUCCAACGAAGUCACUCCGCUAGAUUAUGCUGAAACUGGUGCUUUGGUAGAAGAGACAGUAAAAGAAGCCGCGAACGAGAAUUCCCCGCCCAACCUAGGUGAAAGCCUUGCACCGACUCUUGUAGAUGCAAUAUAAAACUGUGGAAGAGCCUUGGAGCGGACGAAAUAUCCUCGAGUUACGCUUAUUUUUUACACAAUUUUCUUUAGAUUUUUUUUAUAUAUAAUCUUAUAUAUAUAUAUAUAUAUAUAUAUAUAAACGACCAUAUAUUUAAUACUAAAUACAUAUGUUUUUUAAUAUAAGAAAGUAGAAAGUAGAAGUGCCAAAAAAGAUUAAACAGUGAAUAAUAUCAUAAACUACAACACAUAAAUAAGGUAUAUAAUGAAAUUCACACGUUUUGUGAUAAAGAGAGAUAGAGUUUAAUCCGAUUAGUGAACGAUUAAUUAACAUUUUAAUGACUAUAUGCAAUGGUAUAUUUUUUAUGACCGGGUAAUGAUCGCCAUGAAUCAGUAUAGCACACAAUAACAACUCUUCUUAAAAUAUAUCUUUACUCGUAUUGAAAUAAGAAGAUAAUUAAGCAUUUCUAGACACAACAAUGUCAGUAGCACUGGUGAAGAAAAGCAACAUUAAAACAAACAAAAUAACUAUAAUCGAUUACACGUUGUAUUUUUAUUGUAAAGAAGAACAAUAAAUGAGACCCAUUUCUCAAUUUCAAAAAUAAUUAAGCGAUUAAAAGUAAUUUUUAAGAAAUAAUCAGAAUUUAAAUAUUUCUUGCAAACUCGUGUAUAUUUAUUUAAAACUAUGCGUACAUAUACAUGUUUAAACGAACAUUGAACAUAUAUAGCUUCCAAGUUAGGUAAAUUUUAAUAAAUAUUAUUUAUUUGAUGCUCUCAAUAUAAAGCACGAACAUCACAUUGUUGCCAUGUAUCAAAUAGAUGGAGGAUAUAUUUAACUAUCAUAUCUAAAUGUGAAAUUUAUCAGUCAUUGCAUGGAUAGCAAUCUUUUAUAGUAAUCAAACGCCUAAAAAGAUGUUCUUUAGAAUUUCUUGAAGAAUAUGAAUUUUCUUUACUUAAAAAAUAAUCUUGUUAGUAGGAUUUUCGAGAUUAUGUUUAAAUGUUUUUCAUAAUACUUUUCUCAGAAUAUAUUGGGAUUUUUUUAACAGAAUUGGCACGGACUUUUCUGAUCAAUCCAAUAUAAAAAUGUAAUAUGGAACGAAAACUAAAAAUACUAAUGAUGCGACAUAUAGUUCCUUCUAAUGAAUGCUUUACGGUUUUGUGAUAAUAAACAAAACUUAUUUUAAACUGCUCGACUUGUGAUUAGUUUACUAAUAAUCGUUUGGAAAUUUUUAAUAAGCAUGUAUGCAGAGUACGAUCCCUUAGAGAAAAUACAAACAUAUGUUUUGGUAUUGUACAUUAAUUUUUUUUCGUCUUUUAAAAUAUUAAAAAUAUUUAAGUUGUUAUGUUUCUCCUAUUCGAAACUGAGGACUAGAAGAAAGAAUUUUUUAAUUAUUGUGCAUAAAAUUCAUAAUGGAAUAAAAAUGUAAAAGUUCUCAAACAAUGUAAAACAUGCGCCACAUAAUCACGACAAUAUCUGUUGUUACAGCAUCGGUGAUCUGCUUUUUCUCAAUCGAAGAAAUCAUCAAAUUAUUUAAUCUUUCUAUUUAUUUCGAAUAUUUUACAUUCACUAGCUUAUUUAUUUAUAUUAGCUAGCGAUUUGAUUAUAUUGCCCUUAUGUAUCACUGUUUUUUCCGAAAACUCAUACAGUCCGUUUAAUCAUUUAUACAACAAAAUAUUUCACAAUAAUGUUCAGAAUAUUCUUAUGCAAUAAGGUUCAAGAAUAUCGCGCUGUAAUGAUUAAUCAUUUUUCAAGAGAAAUAUCGCUUAUGCGAUAUACAUAUAAUAUAUUAAUGCUAUAUUUAUUUUCCAUUUUCUUGCUAAAAAUCUUUGUCGGGUAAGGGAAUAAUUGAUUUAUGUUACACACAGCUUCACGCAUCAAAUGGCGCGAUAAAAAAGAAAUUUACGCGAAAACUCAUUAAAUUUCAAACAGUUAAACAGUUAAAUACCAUAGCGAUGCACAUCGUAAGCAUCUUAUUAUUUUGCACAUAAAUAAUGCUCACCGUGUGUUUCACGAUAUUCGGUUGUAUAACGAUGCAAAUGACUGGAAUAGGGCCGCGAGCGUAAUAGUAGCACCCCAUGCAAGAGACAUACUUAUGAGAUACUUACUAGAACAUUACGUUUGUAAGAACUUUGAACUAAUUAAAAUCAAGGCUACUUUUCGACGACAUACAUAUAUAUGCAGCAAAAAGAUUGAUGUGCCUUAUUUAGUGUCAUGUCUCACGCUAAUACACAAGGUUCUUCAAUGCGUGAAGAUUAAAAGAGGCAUGUAAUUUGAAACUUGAAAAGAUAUUUUCCAGAAGAGAUACAGAAAGUUACAAGACGUCCACAGAGAAAACACAGAGUAUCGAGUUGCAGAAAUCUGUAGCAGAGACAAGUCCAUCAAGGUAGCUAUAAUAAUGAAGAUUUCCGAAACUACUUUUGAAUGAGCGCCAUGGGAAGUAUUCUGUUUCGUUACGCACACGCAACAUAAUGUUCGUGCAGCUUUAACGGCGGCAGGCGUAAGGAGGG